Molecule: ribosomal RNA, 803 nt
Filed under: human gut metagenome
Description: bacterial SSU rRNA
Rfam family: Bacterial small subunit ribosomal RNA
Source: RNAcentral
AAACAAGGGCGAAGCCGGCAUACGGGCACCAACGGACGCAAGGCUCGAAAGUGUGGUUGCAAACAGGAUAGAUUACCCUGGUAGUCCACACCGUAAACGAUGAGUACUAGGUGUUGGAGGAUUGACCCCUUCAGUGCCGCAGGUAACACAAUAAGUAAUCCACCUGGGGAGUACGACCGCAAGGUUGAAACUCAAAGGAAUUGACGGGGGCCCGCACAAGCAGUGGAGUAUGUGGUUAAAUUCGACGCAACGCGAAGAACCUUACCAAGUCUUGACAUCCCUUGACAGGCAUAGAAAUAUGUUUUCUCUUCGGAGCAAGGAGACAGGUGGUGCAUGGUNGUCGUCAGCUCGUGUCGUGAGAUGUUGGGUUAAGUCCCGCAACGAGCGCAACCCUUAUGGUCAGNUACUACGCAAGAGGACUCUGGCCAGACUGCCGUUGACAAAACGGAGGAAGGUGGGGAUGACGUCAAAUCAUCAUGCCCUUUAUGACUUGGGCUACACACGUACUACAAUGGCGUUAAACAAAGAGAAGCAAGACCGCGAGGUGGAGCAAAACUCAGAAACAACGUCCCAGUUCGGACUGCAGGCUGCAACUCGCCUGCACGAAGUCGGAAUUGCUAGUAAUCGUGGAUCAGCAUGCCACGGUGAAUACGUUCCCGGGCCUUGUACACACCGCCCGUCACACCAUGAGAGCCGGGGGGACCCGAAGUCGGUAGUCUAACCGCAAGGAGGACGCCGCCGAAGGUAAAACUGGUGAUUGGGGUGAAGUCGUAACAAGGUAGCCGUAGGAGAACCUGCGGCUG